GCCAGACUCCUACGGGAGGCAGCAGUGAGGAAUAUUGGUCAAUGAGCGCGAGCCUGAACCAGCCAAGUAGCGUGAAGGAUGACUGCCCUACGGGUUGUAAACUUCUUUUAUAAAGGAAUAAAGUGAGGCACGUGUGCCUUUUUGUAUGUACUUUAUGAAUAAGGAUCGGCUAACUCCGUGCCAGCAGCCGCGGUAAUACGGAGGAUCCGAGCGUUAUCCGGAUUUAUUGGGUUUAAAGGGUGCGCAGGCGGCACGGCAAGCCGGCGGUCAAAUCGCGGGGCUCAACCCCGCCCAGCCGUCGGAACUGCCGGGCUAGAGUGGGCGAGAAGUGCGCGGAAUGCGUGGUGUAGCGGUGAAAUGCAUAGAUAUCACGCAGAACUCCGAUUGCGAAGGCAGCGCACCGGCGCCCUACUGACGCUCAGGCACGAAAGCGUGGGUAUCGAACAGGAUUAGAUACCCUCGUA
RNAcentral lists this ribosomal RNA (464 nucleotides) under uncultured bacterium. RNAcentral describes it as "bacterial SSU rRNA". It matches the Rfam family "Bacterial small subunit ribosomal RNA", at positions 330 to 792 of the family's 1533-position model. The record is from RNAcentral.